Molecule: ribosomal RNA, 822 nt
Filed under: Carpodacus formosanus (Taiwan rosefinch)
Lineage: Eukaryota; Metazoa; Chordata; Aves; Passeriformes; Fringillidae
Description: partial 16S ribosomal RNA
Rfam family: Bacterial large subunit ribosomal RNA (bases 269-689)
Source: RNAcentral
CUUACACCUGAAAAAUGUCUGCUAACAUCAGAUCGUCUUGAUGCCAAACUCUAGCCCAAUCGACAUGACCUGGAAUAACAAAGCUACUCUACACACCUAACUAAAGCAUUCAUUAGUCCUAGUAUAGGCGAUAGAAAAGACACCAUUGGAGCGAUAGAGACUACGUACCGUAAGGGAAAGAUGAAAUAUUAGUGAAAUAACCUAAGCUAAAAACAGCAAAGAUCAACCCUUGUACCUUUUGCAUCAUGGUCUAGCAAGAAAAACCAAGCAAAAUGACUUUAAGUUUGCCAUCCCGAAACCCAAGCGAGCUACUUACGAGCAGCUAUUGUGAGCGAACCCGUCUCUGUGGCAAAAGAGUGGGAUGACUUGUUAGUAGAGGUGAAAAGCCAAUCGAGCUGGGUGAUAGCUGGUUGCCUGUGAAAAGAAUCUUAGUUCACUCUUAAUUCUUCUCCAAGGAAACACACAAACCCUAAUGAAGCGAAUUAAGGGCAAUUUAAAGGAGGUACAGCUCCUUUAAAAAAGAAUACAAUCUCUACGAGCGGAUAAGUACUAACCAACCAAUCUUACUGUGGGCCCUCAAGCAGCCAUCAACAAAGAGUGCGUUAAAGCUCUACUUUUCAAAAAUAUAAGAACAAUACGACUCCCUCCCCAUUAACAGGCUAACCUAUAUUUAAAUAGGAGAAUUAAUGCUAGAAUGAGUAACCUGGGUCCUCCCUCUACGACGCAAGCUUACAUCGGCACAUUAUUAACAAAUUACCAAUAUACGACUAAUCAAACAAGCAGAGUAUUAAGUACAUUGUUAACCCGACAGAGGAGCGUCUA